UUGUGCGAGGUUCUGAAGCCU
RNAcentral lists this microRNA (21 nucleotides) under Picea abies (Norway spruce). RNAcentral describes it as "pab-miR472". Its record names the gene pab-miR472. The record is from miRBase by way of RNAcentral. Lineage: Eukaryota; Viridiplantae; Streptophyta; Pinopsida; Pinales; Pinaceae.